CUUAAUUUUAGUCCUUCAGGUGUAUAAAGCAUAAUAGGGAAUCCCGUGGAAUUCGGGAACGGACCCACCGCUGUAAUCGGGGACGAACACUGCAUGAAUGUCACUGUUUCUCUCUAGAGAAAUGGGAAGGCGCAGUUAGUAGAAAGAACCGAAAGUCAGAAGACCUGCCUGAAUGAUUGGUUUUAU
This 186-nucleotide non-coding RNA is filed under the name Candidatus Magnetoglobus. RNAcentral also lists the same sequence under 1 other name. Lineage: Bacteria; Pseudomonadati; Thermodesulfobacteriota; Desulfobacteria; Desulfobacterales; Desulfobacteraceae. The record is from RNAcentral.